Molecule: small nucleolar RNA, 83 nt
Organism: Lemur catta (Ring-tailed lemur)
Lineage: Eukaryota; Metazoa; Chordata; Mammalia; Primates; Lemuridae
Product: small nucleolar RNA SNORD121A
Exons: 1
Source: RefSeq, a predicted model, not a curated record
GUCCAGAAAACGAUGUGGUAAUUUCCAAGCACAUAUCUGAUGACUCCAUCGUCGAAUUUAACUACUCUUGAGUUUUCCUGGAC